UAGCGAAGGGGGCUAGCGUUGUUCGGAAUUACUGGGCGUAAAGCGUGCGCAGGCGGCUUCGUCAAGUCAGGGGUGAAAGCCCCAGAGCUCAACUCUGGAAUUGCCGUUUGAGACUGAGUUGGCUUGAGUACGAGAGAGGUGAGUGGAAUUCCCAGUGUAGAGGUAGAAAUUCGUAGAUAUCGGGAGGAACACCGGUGGCGAAGGCGGCGAUCUGGGUCGAUACUGACGCUGAGGUGCGAAAGCGUGGGGAGCAAACAGG
Molecule: ribosomal RNA, 259 nt
Filed under: uncultured bacterium
Lineage: Bacteria
Description: partial 16S ribosomal RNA
Rfam family: Bacterial small subunit ribosomal RNA
Source: RNAcentral